Molecule: ribosomal RNA, 79 nt
Filed under: Pseudoalteromonas sp. SR45-4
Lineage: Bacteria; Pseudomonadati; Pseudomonadota; Gammaproteobacteria; Alteromonadales; Pseudoalteromonadaceae
Also listed under: 1 other name
Description: partial 16S ribosomal RNA
Rfam family: Bacterial small subunit ribosomal RNA
Source: RNAcentral
CGGAGUGAUUCAUGACUGGGGUGAAGUCGUAACAAGGUAGCCCUAGGGGAACCUGGGGCUGGAUCACCUCCUUAUACGA